Molecule: unclassified non-coding RNA, 291 nt
Filed under: uncultured Inocybe
Lineage: Eukaryota; Fungi; Basidiomycota; Agaricomycetes; Agaricales; Cortinariaceae
Description: sequence contains ITS2
Rfam family: 5.8S ribosomal RNA (bases 1-52)
Source: RNAcentral
AACGCAUCUUGCGCUCCUUGGUAUUCCGAGGAGCAUGCCUGUUUGAGUGUCAUUUAAAAUUCUCAAACCCACUUGACGUGGCUUUGGAUGUGGGGGCUUUUGUUUGCAGGCUUUUCUUCUCAAGUCUGCUCCCCUGAAAUGCAUUAGUGGUGUCUGGAGUGGAAACCGCUAGGUGUGAUAAUUAUCGUCUACGCCUUUGGGUAUGCCACAUGAAACAGAUUGUGCUGCUUCCAACACAACCUUUAUGACAAACUUGACCUCAAAUCAGGUAGGACUACCCGCUGAACUUAA